RNAcentral lists this ribosomal RNA (334 nucleotides) under uncultured bacterium. RNAcentral's name for it is "bacterial SSU rRNA". It matches the Rfam family "Bacterial small subunit ribosomal RNA", at positions 8 to 334 of the family's 1533-position model. The record is from RNAcentral.
AGGGUUUGAUUAUGGCUCAGGAUGAACGCUGGCGGCGUGCUUAACACAUGCAAGUCGAACGAAGAUGCCGGAGUGCUUGCACUUUGGCAGACUGAGUGGCGGACGGGUGAGUAACGCGUGGGUAACCUGCCUUAUACAGGGGGAUAACAGCUGGAAACGGCUGCUAAUACCGCAUAAGCGCACAGAGCUGCAUGGCUCGGUGUGAAAAACUCCGGUGGUAUGGGAUGGGCCCGCGUCUGAUUAGGCAGUUGGCGGGGUAACGGCCCACCAAACCGACGAUCAGUAGCCGGCCUGAGAGGGCGACCGGCCACAUUGGGACUGAGACACGGCCCAA